Zootermopsis nevadensis is the source of this 73-nucleotide non-coding RNA. Lineage: Eukaryota; Metazoa; Arthropoda; Insecta; Blattodea; Termopsidae. The record is from Rfam.
GCCACGGUGGUCUAGCUGUUAGAACGCUGGCCUUGUAAUCCUGGGGUCUCGGGUUCGAUUCCCGGCGGUGCCC